AUGGCUGACAAGUGCGGCAACUGCGACUGUGCCGACAAGACCCGGUGCGUGAAGAAGGGCGACAGCUAUGGCGUCGUCAUGGUUGACACCGAGAAGAGUGGGAUAGGCUGCUGUCCUCGUUGGGUAGAAUGUCUACCUCGCCCUAAUUUGAUCUGUGUGUCGUGCCUGUGUUUCGAUGCUGGUAAAUUGCCAGAAUCCAGCAAUAGAUGUUAA
This 213-nucleotide ribosomal RNA is filed under the name Triticum aestivum (bread wheat). RNAcentral describes it as "partial small subunit ribosomal RNA". Lineage: Eukaryota; Viridiplantae; Streptophyta; Magnoliopsida; Poales; Poaceae. The record is from RNAcentral.